AUUUGCUUAACCUCGCAGCCUCGUAAUAUUGAUCAAAGACCUUACAUAGAUUUCCGUCACCAAAUAUACAUCCUGUUGUAUACGAAGAGUGGUUGGAAGUCGUCCCAAGCAGAUUUAAAAACGAAAAUUGCUAUCGCAAAUAUAGAGUUUGCGAUAGACAUUUUGAACCAGAAGCAAAGUACGGGAAGGGUCGCCUUCAAAGAUGGGCAGUUCCAAAACUACAUUUACCUAGUGAGCCUACCACAGUUGGAAAUCAAGUGGUUGAUGAUGCGGGAUGUGUAUUACAAAAUCCUAUAGAAGUUGAGGUUGCUUCAAGUACUUGGGGUGGAGUAAUACAUGAAGAAUCUAUACCCUAUGUAGGAGAAAUUUAUUGUGCUUCUGACUGUAUUGAAGAAAUAAUGCCCCAAUUUCAUUUACCUAUACCAGAGAGUAUUGUACAACCUUUAUAUGGAACUGUGGAGCUGGAGGAUAGUAAUAAUU
This is a long non-coding RNA of Aricia agestis (brown argus), 480 nucleotides long. RefSeq lists it as uncharacterized. The record is from RefSeq and is a predicted model, not a curated record. Lineage: Eukaryota; Metazoa; Arthropoda; Insecta; Lepidoptera; Lycaenidae. The transcript has 5 exons.